CCGAACUGCACCCCUGCUUCAUUUCCUGAUCUGGGUAUGUUUCCUUCCCUUCAGAAAAUGGAAGUGCUGAGAUGUUAAGGUCCAACUCCAUGCUCGCCUCCUUUGGCCUCAUCCAGCUCGUCUUCAUCUUCUUCCUGUUUAGUGGCAGGGGAUCAUUGAGCUGGAGGUCAAUGCUGCUGCGUUGGCUCACUGGAUUACAACAUAUCAAUUGUUGCUUCCUCUUCAUCGUGGAAAUCACAUCUGAUUCCGCACUCAAGAUUGACCGAGGCGGGCCGAGAGAAAGCUCUGUGUGCUCCAUAGCUGCUUGUUUGAACCAGGGGAGAAAAUAAAUAAAAAGUGGAAAGGAAAAAAACAACACACCACCACCUCCAUGAAACAUAUAUUGGGCAAGGCAUAAUGAAUUAAUGUGGUGGGUUGAGACUUCUACACAUCCAUCAGUGCCAGCAACCCCAAUUAAUAAAUGGAGCUGUGCCUCAUUCUUUGGUCAUGAAGGAUCAAAGGCAUUCAAUGUUUCAUGUCAUAACUCCUCUCCUUGUGAGUUUAAUGUUCCAACAGCCCAUUUGUAUUUGUGAGGUCGCCUUUAAUCUCCAGAGGCCACCUCGGACUUCUUAUAUCAACAUAGCAUUAGGACAUUAAUGAGGGGGUCGUCUUGUCAUUAACAGAUAUCAAUUACUCAUUUAGUGGCAAUAAAGUGACGGAGCUGAUUCCAUAUUUGCUGCACUGUUCCAUCAUAAUGACAAUUGAAUGUUAUCGGUAUUAUCUAUGUUUAUUUUGAGCCAAUUUUGAUAUUACAUGUUGUUUAUCCGAUUGUUUCAAUUUCAUUUCUAGACUGUUUGCAAUCAUGUUAAAGUGCGCUAAGUAUUAUUUAGGUCUCUUUUGAUUCAAUUUUUGAUAUAAAUUAGCUUAUGAAGUUGUUUGGUGAAAUAACCUGAUGACCAAGGGAUGAUAUUUUGGUUAAGAGAACUUGCUCCUUGUCAUCUUAGGCAGACCCUAUCGACAAACCAAAUUGACCCAAUAUUUACAUACUAGAAAGUUUUUACUCUUCAUAAAGGAACCUAUAGUCUAUAGAAAAUCAAAGCCUAUUCAAUGUGGUAUCUUGACCCACCAUAAGUAGCAUUUGAUGAUUUUGGGA
This is a long non-coding RNA of Zingiber officinale, 1132 nucleotides long. RefSeq lists it as uncharacterized. The transcript has 3 exons. The record is from RefSeq and is a predicted model, not a curated record. Lineage: Eukaryota; Viridiplantae; Streptophyta; Magnoliopsida; Zingiberales; Zingiberaceae.